RNAcentral lists this ribosomal RNA (300 nucleotides) under uncultured Enterococcus sp. Its description in RNAcentral is "bacterial SSU rRNA". The stretch from base 51 to 300 matches the Rfam family "Bacterial small subunit ribosomal RNA", at positions 547 to 795 of the family's 1533-position model. Lineage: Bacteria; Bacillati; Bacillota; Bacilli; Lactobacillales; Enterococcaceae. The record is from RNAcentral.
GUAACGAGGUGCCGGAGGCGGAGGGGAUGGGUAGGGUGCAGGCGUUGAUCGGAAUUGAGGGGCGUAGAGGGGGCGCAGGCGGUUGGGUAGUUCUGAUGUGAAAUCCCCGAGCUCAACUUGGGAACUGCAGUGGAGACUGUUCAGCUAGAGUACGUCAGAGGGGGGUGGAAUUCCACGUGUAGCAGUGAAAUGCGUAGAGAUGUGGAUGAACACCGAUGGCGAAGGCAGCCCCCUGGGAUGAUACUGACGCUCAUGCACGAAAGCGUGGGGAGCAAACAGGAUUAGAUACCCCAGUUAGUC